Molecule: unclassified non-coding RNA, 383 nt
Filed under: soil metagenome
Description: partial contains 5.8S ribosomal RNA, internal transcribed spacer 2, and large subunit ribosomal RNA
Rfam family: 5.8S ribosomal RNA (bases 1-120)
Source: RNAcentral
GAUGAAGAACGUAGCGAAAUGCGAUAAGUAGUGUGAAUUGCAGAAUUCAGUGAAUCAUCGAAUCUUUGAACGCACAUUGCGCCCUUUGGUAUUCCUUAGGGCAUGCCUGUUCGAGCGUCACUACACACCUUAUCACAAUAUUUGUGGUCUUGGCAGGAGUGAAUUGCUGGUCUAUGGAAGUAUUCCAGCAGUACACAAUGCUAAAAAAUAUGGGAAGGUUACCAGAUAUGAACAACAGACUUUGUAAAUGGUUGUAGGACCUAGAUCAGUCACAAGUCAUGUCUGGUCCCUUACCUUAAGGACCCCCAUCCUAGAUGAACUAUGGGUUGACCUCGGAUCAGGUAGGAAUACCCGCUGAACUUAAGCAUAUCAUAAGCGGAGGA